AGACAAUAGUUAUUUGAGUUCAACAAAAGUUUUAAGUUUUUAAGCCCAAUGUUUAAAAACAAAUUGUUAGAUUUUUAAUCCUUUUACAGCCCCAAUGGAGAGAAAUUAUGCUUAUUAUAGACAGCUAAGCCAGUCAAACACACUACAGAUCCUCACACUACAUAGGGACAAGCCACUGUUGGGUGUGCUUGCUUUUCGUAAAACCCCUUCACAUAAAACAAAAAGAAAGGGAGAUAUGUUGGGAGCAAUGCUACAUAAUUCUAGGGAAAAAUCAUUUGAGUAGGCCUAGUUCUCCUGCCUACAGCCCAGCUAGGACAUUCCAGACAUAACUGCAUCUUGGCCUCGGGUCACAACUGAGACCUCAGUGAUCCCCGGAUGCUGUCAUCUCCAGGACAAGACCACACCUGUGGGAGAUGCCAGAGAGGAACCAAAUCUUCAUCUGCAUAAUUCCUCAUUGUUCUUAGAUUUCCCCUGCCCCCCAGCCUUUUGUUACACCUUGUCUAUCCCAAUGUAAAGUACUGAACUCUAUAUUUCACUUGUUACAUCUGUUUCCCCAGGUACUGAAUAAAAGGUGCUGCAAGCUAGGGGGUCUUUGUCUUUGCUGCCCAGAGCAGCACUGAUCAGACCCAAAGCUCAGCUUCUUCUCAGUCUCAUUUGUCUACCUUUCCUGUAAUGCGCCGUGUGCUGCCGUGGCUCACAGGAGACUAGGACUCACUGCAGAGGUUCUGGUAUGAAGCCUGAAGAACAGAGAGUACAUUUUUUGGGAAAAUGCUUACUGUAAAUCCUGGGACUCUGAAGAGGUUAUUCUGACAAGUCAUUUUCCCUGGUGUGUCUUUGAUGUCUUUUCUUAAGGCUGUAGUUUCUUCUCCAAGCUGUGUGGUAAUCUACUGGAUGGCAGCACUACAACUUGAGCAUUCUUCCGCUGAUACUAUGGUCACAUGAAUGGAAACCUUCCAGCUGAAAGGAGAAGCAUGCAGCAUGGCCAGGCACUGAUGAGGCACUGUGUUUCAAGCUGGGUCCUGCUGAAACAGAUCUGAUGACCUUUCUUCCCUUCAGAUUUUUUAAUGUACUGAAGACUAUUACCUGGCUGGGGAAAGAGGAUAGCGCUUAAAAACAGUUCCUUUUUUGGUAAUGUUCCUAUGUGCUCAGUGGAGACAAUUAUUGCCUGUCUAUGUGAGCUGCUUUUUCAAGGAAGGAAAUGACUGAAGAAAUGGGAACGCUGUCAACAUUGAGAUGAAUAUGAGGGACGGAGGGAUAUGUUUGUUUUAAAGAAAGAAAUAAAACAGCAUUUGAAAUUUUUUUUAG
Molecule: long non-coding RNA, 1305 nt
Filed under: Heterocephalus glaber (naked mole-rat)
Lineage: Eukaryota; Metazoa; Chordata; Mammalia; Rodentia; Bathyergidae
Description: lncRNA (ENSHGLG00100051735.1)
Source: RNAcentral